This 274-nucleotide long non-coding RNA is filed under the name Nicotiana benthamiana. RNAcentral's name for it is "long non-coding RNA (NBEN_LNC006299)". The record is from RNAcentral. Lineage: Eukaryota; Viridiplantae; Streptophyta; Magnoliopsida; Solanales; Solanaceae.
GCUAAGGGGCGGGUAUGAUAUAUCUGGAUAUAGUGACUAAUCUUUCUAAGCACUUUUAAUCAAUCACAUUAACCUUCCAAUUCAUUCUUAUGUCAAUCAGACGUUCACAACAUUUUAUUUAUGACAUCCCAUUCCUUUAGAUCCAUUUGUAUGAAGUUACCACUUAUCAACUACUAUAUUUAUUCAUUUUUACGGGGUUCUUCUUCUUUUACUCUUCCAAAACUGCACCUAUCCUCUAUUUCAUUGGUUCCACUCAAAAACCAAACCAUCACCC